RNAcentral lists this ribosomal RNA (519 nucleotides) under uncultured eukaryote. Its description in RNAcentral is "SSU rRNA". It matches the Rfam family "Eukaryotic small subunit ribosomal RNA", at positions 1161 to 1698 of the family's 1831-position model. The record is from RNAcentral.
AGGGCACCACCAGGAGUGGAGCCCGCGGCUUAAUUUGACUCAACACGGGAAAACUCACCCGGCCCGGACACUGGAAGGAUUGACAGAUUGAGAGCUCUUUCUUGAUUCAGUGGGUGGUGGUGCAUGGCCGUUCUUAGUUGGUGGAGUGAUUUGUCUGGUUAAUUCCGAUAACGAACGAGACUCUAGCCUAUUAAAUAGAUCGUUGGCUUACAAACGCCGGCGAGACUUCUUAGAGGGACAGGCGGCGAUUCAGCCGCACGAAACAGAGCAAUAACAGGUCUGUGAUGCCCUUAGAUGUCCGGGGCCGCACGCGCGCUACACUGAAGUGAUCAGCGUGCAUUUUGAAACCUACUCUGUCAAGAGUGGGGAACCCAAUGAACCUUCUUCGUGAUUGGGAUAGGGGAUUGUAAUUAUCCCCCUUGAACGAGGAAUUCCCAGUAAGCGCGAAUCAUAAGUUUGCGCUGAUUACGUCCCUGCCCUUUGUACACGCCGCCCGUCGCUACUACCGAUUGAAUGUUU